Molecule: ribosomal RNA, 253 nt
Filed under: uncultured bacterium
Lineage: Bacteria
Description: partial 16S ribosomal RNA
Rfam family: Bacterial small subunit ribosomal RNA
Source: RNAcentral
UACGGAGGGUGCAAGCGUUAUCCGGAUUCACUGGGUUUAAAGGGUGCGUAGGUGGGCUAGUAAGUCAGUGGUGAAAUCUCCGGGCUUAACCCGGAAACUGCCAUUGAUACUAUUAGUCUUGAAUACCAUGGAGGUGAGCGGAAUAUGUCAUGUAGCGGUGAAAUGCUUAGAUAUGACAUAGAGCACCAAUUGCGAAGGCAGCUCGCUACGCGGUUAUUGACACUGAGGCACGAAAGCGUGGGGAUCAAACAGG